AAUUUGAUUCGUUUUCUAUGUUGAAUACAGCCAGCUUUGACCAGGUUUUCUCUGCUAUAAAACCCAAUGCAUUUAGAUGCAGUUUUCACACAUAAAUAAUUGUUAAUAUAAAACUUGAUCCUGCCGGUUGACCAGAACGCAAGAGCCUCGCCUCGUCAAAGGUAUUCUUCCUCUGGAUCGGCUUUGCACCACGCUAGCUUCCGUCCUUCACACCUCGUCUUUCUGUUUACUUCGCAUUCUUUAA
This 244-nucleotide long non-coding RNA is filed under the name Phaseolus vulgaris (common bean). RNAcentral describes it as "long non-coding RNA (PVUL_LNC003915)". Lineage: Eukaryota; Viridiplantae; Streptophyta; Magnoliopsida; Fabales; Fabaceae. The record is from RNAcentral.